RNAcentral lists this ribosomal RNA (404 nucleotides) under uncultured bacterium. RNAcentral's name for it is "bacterial LSU rRNA". It matches the Rfam family "Bacterial large subunit ribosomal RNA", at positions 179 to 540 of the family's 2925-position model. The record is from RNAcentral.
CGAUACCCGGGGAAUUGAAACAUCUUAUUACCCGGAGGAAAAGAGAAAGAAAUUGAUUCUGUGAGUAGCGGUGAGCGAAAGCGGAACAGCCCAAACCCCUGUCUAUGUUACAGCAUUGACGCGCUGUAGCAGGGGUGUUGUAGGACUUACGUGUGCAGGUCAAUAUGCACGAAGAAGUUACAAAUAGUUGAGAUAGUCGAAUGGUUUUGGGAAAGCCAGCCAAAAGAGGGUGAAAGCCCCCGUAGACGAAAUUUCAAUUACUUCUGUAAGUAUCCUGAGUACCACGAACACGUGUAAUUUUGUGGGAAUCUGGGGAGACCACUCCCCAAGGCUAAAUACUACUUAGUGACCGAUAGUGAACAAGUACCGUGAGGGAAAGGUGAAAGUACCGCGGGAGCGGAGUG